AGAGUUUGAUCCUGGCUCAGAACGAACGCUGGUGGCGUGCUUAACACAUGCAAGUCGAACGAGAAAAUUUCCUUCGGGAAACUAGUAAAGUGGCGCAAGGGUGAGUAACACGUGAAUAAUCUGCCCUCGAGAUCGGGAUAACAUGGUGAAAACUAUGCUAAUACCGGAUAAGACCACAUUUCAUAAGAAAUGCGGUAAAAGGAGUCUCAAUCUUCACUCGAGGAUGAGUUCGCGCAACAUUAGCUUGUUGGUGAGAUAAAAGCUCACCAAGGCUACGAUGUUUAGCCGGCCUGAGAGGGUGAUCGGCCACACUGGAACUGAGACACGGUCCAGACUCCUACGGGAGGCAGCAGUGGGGAAUAUUGCGCAAUGGGCGAAAGCCUGACGCAGCAACGCCGUGUGAGCGAUGAAGGCUUUAGGGUCGUAAAGCUCUGUCAAAUGGGAAGAAUUUUGACGGUACCAUUAGAGGAAGCCCCGGCUAACUCCGUGCCAGCAGCCGCGGUAAUACGGAGGGGGCAAGCGUUGUUCGGAAUUAUUGGGCGUAAAGCGUAUGUAGGCGGCUAAGUAAGUCAGGCGUGCAAGCCCGUGGCUCAACCACGGAAUUGCGUUUGAAACUGCUUAGCUUGAGUACAGGAGAGGAAAGCGGAAUUCCCAGUGUAGCGGUGAAAUGCAUUGAUAUUGGGAAGAACAUCUGUGGCGAAGGCGGCUUUCUGGUCUGUUACUGACGCUGAGAUACGAAAGCCAGGGGAGCGAACGGGAUUAGAUACCCCGGUAGUCCUGGCUGUAAACGAUGGGCACUAGGUGCAGGAGGUAUCGAUCCCCUCUGUGCCGUAGCUAACGC
RNAcentral lists this ribosomal RNA (841 nucleotides) under marine metagenome. RNAcentral's name for it is "bacterial SSU rRNA". It matches the Rfam family "Bacterial small subunit ribosomal RNA", at positions 8 to 858 of the family's 1533-position model. The record is from RNAcentral.